This 1710-nucleotide long non-coding RNA is filed under the name Sarcophilus harrisii (Tasmanian devil). RNAcentral describes it as "lncRNA (ENSSHAG00000032096.1)". Lineage: Eukaryota; Metazoa; Chordata; Mammalia; Dasyuromorphia; Dasyuridae. The record is from RNAcentral.
GCCCUCCCCCCGACCAAGGCCUCUGGGGCUAUUUUGGGCCCCACCAUGUAAGUAACACCCGCACCUGUUGUGGGUAUUUUAAGGGAACAAGUGGAGGGAGGGAGGCUGGGGGUGGGAGGAGCUGGAGCCUGGAUGCCCGGGUCCUGGAGAGGGCAGGGACUGGGGGAAAGGGAUGCCUGAGGCCUUCCAAGAGAGGGAGAGAUGAAAUCUGGGCUUCUAGGAAGGGGGCCCAGCUGGAAUAACAGCCCACACCGUUCUCUUCAUCAACUUUAUUAGACAGGACACCCUCACAGGGUGGUCCACGCCGCCCCAGCCCCGAGCCUGCAGCCCCAGUCGGCAACCAGGACCAGGACAUCAGCAGGGUGAGGAGCCAGACCCAUCAGGGAGGCAGGGAUGGAGGCAGAUUUGGGAUCCUGUCUCCAUGUGACAACAGCUGACCGGACACCGCUUGGCUUGCCCUAGCCCAGAUUCCUCAGCCCCUCCCUCUGGCCGCUGGCCCUCAGCAUCUCUCUGGAGCCAUGAAGCCUUCUCUCUCUCUCAUGGGGCUUCCCUGCUGGUACCUCUCCCUCCUGUGUGUCCCCUUGUCUCUGGGUCACUGGCUCCGUCUCCAGAGGUAACGUGUGUCUAGACAGAGCUCAGCAGGUGCCUUUGUCCCUCUGCCUUCCCAUGUCUCUCUGGGCAAAUACAAUCUGCAUUUGAUGCCAUAUAUGUGUAUUUAUGUAUGCAUGUGUGUAUAUACACUUACACACACACACACAUACACACACACACACACACACACACACACACACAGAAACAUCUGCUGUCUCUUCUGUUCCGAUCUCUGUAUCAUUAUUCUGGUAAUUUGAUUUUGACUUUUCAUGUCAUUACUACUUUCCUUGCAUCCCUCUUCCCUCUAUUAUUUUAUAGUAACUUGCUUUUGAUUUUCCAUGUCUUUAUCACUACUUUGCUUGCAUCCCUCUUCCCUCUAUUAUUUUAUAGUAAUUUGAUUUUUCAUGUCAUUACUACUUUCCUUGCAUCCCUCUUCCCUUCAUUAUUUUAUAGUAAUUUGCUUUUGAUUUUUCAUGUCUUUAUCACUGCUUUGUUUGUUAGUUGAUUCUUCCCGGCCCUAGACAGAGCUAGUGUCUUCCUCUGGCAUCCCUGUUCCCUCUAUUAUUUUAUAUUCACUUGCUUUUGAUUUUCCGUGUCUUUUUCACUGCUUUGCUUGUUGGUUGACUCUUCCCGGCCUGGACAGAUUCCACGUCUUCCUCGGGCCUCCCUCUUCCCUCUGUCCUUUUCUAGCUCGGGCUCGCCCUCCCCGGCCCCUUAUCUUUCUCUGUUGCCCAGUAUUGGUUGGCUCCUGGCGAGCGCCGGGCACUGUGCUGGGGAUGCACGCCUGGGCUUCCUUGCUUUUCCUCCUCUCUUCCAGUGCCUCCUUACCUGGGCCUCCGUGAUAGAGGAGCGCGGCAUUGUGGGCACGGGUAAAUGUAUGAACGGCCUGCCUCUAAGCCCCCCCCCCCCCGCUUUUGGUGCCUCUGUUUCCCCAAACGCCCCUUUUCUCGGGCUCUCUCUGGAAGGGCUUUCUCUCUCUCUCUCUCCCGCGCGCGGCCUCUAAUCCCUCCGCUCUCUCAGCCAGCCUUUCUCUGCCUCCCUCUGGCCUUCUCGUUCUUUUUGUCAGGGGUCCCCUGUGCUCCCUGGACCGGGCCAGGUAAGACCCCCCCACCCACCCCA